GGAGCAACAGGUUCUGGAGCGUUCCGCUGUUUGUAGAUAUAAAUAUACAGCUUAUAGAGAAACACAUGAGGCUGGUGACAGUAGGUUAUUAUUAUUCCAGCCGGUCCUGUUCUGGUCCAGAACCAGCUCAGUUGGGCUCCUGCUCUCCUCCCUGUUGAUGAUCCUUUAACAUCAGAGCAGCGAGUGCUGGAAGCAAAGGGACGACAUCCAACACAUGGAACUGGUUCUGGGCGCUGAACGAAUGUUCUGGACCACGUCUCUGCCUGAAGCUCAGAGCGACGGAGGCCGUGCAGCGCAUUUCCACGUCUCUACAGGCUCCGUCGGACUCACCUGUGGCUCGGCUGGAAACACGCUUUCUGUGCAGCUAAUGGAAACAUGCGUAAAACCAGUGACAUCAUUACAGUAACGCCAGGAGGAGUCAGCGGUUUAAGCUUUUUUACUGACUGGACCUCUUGAAAUGAUGAAUUGCCAUGAGUUUCAGUGAGUCUAUGGAUUUUUCUCUUUGCUCUGUGGUUAAUGUUUUCAGUUCUCUCCACAUCUCCCUUCAGUGCUGAGAUGGACCGAACACUUUGACACAGUCUUUCACACACUUGACCCCUGACCUCACGGUGCCCCUCUGCUUCCAGACUGAUGUUUACACCCGCCUGCACCUUAAUGAAAGGCGGCUUUCAGCAAAGUGCAUCACCGUGACCCUGACAGCGUGUCCACUCGGAACAUUCCUCCCCUUGUUUGCUAGAGGUCAAUGUUUGUAUUAGCGGAAAUCAGCGCUGAGCGUUAAAAUAAUCAAACCGCGCAGAGACUCCAAAAAGCAGAACUGCAGGCGGAGCACAGAGAUCAGCGACAGAACCUCACCUUCAGGCCCUGCUCGACUCAGACUUGUGUGUUGCCCAAGGACACGUUGACACGUGGGCCGGAGGAGCUGCAGAUCGAACUGCCAACCGCGCUUCAUUUCCUGAGCCGCCCCCGCGAGAGGCCGGCGGCUCACUAUUCCACAGAACCUCCCAUUAAACUGUCUUUCAAGGAGACGAACUGGACACGAGGCAAAUGGGGUGCGAGGAGGCAGAGAAACGGCAGAGAAACCGAGCCGCUCCAGAAUUCAUCCAGUGAGAGGCGUUCAGGGACCAGCGAGGACCGACACAGGAGCCGUUGAGCUAAGCUGAUGCUAACAGCUGGUGGCUAACUGUCAAAAUCAAUG
Molecule: long non-coding RNA, 1195 nt
Filed under: Betta splendens (Siamese fighting fish)
Lineage: Eukaryota; Metazoa; Chordata; Actinopteri; Anabantiformes; Osphronemidae
Description: lncRNA (ENSBSLG00000017347.1)
Source: RNAcentral